GUCGAGGAUCUUCCGCAAUGGGCGAAAGCCUGACGGAGCGACGCCGCGUGGAGGACGAAGGCCUUCGGGUUGUAAACUCCUGUCACGUGAUGAGAAUAGCGGAGCGCUAACACCGCUUCGUUUGACAAAUCAUGAGAGGAAGUCACGGCUAACUCUGUGCCAGCAGCCGCGGUAAUACAGAGGUGGCUAGCGUUGUUCGGAAUCACUGGGCAUAAAGGGCGCGUAGGCGGUCGGAAUAGUCGGUCGUGAAAGCCCUCGGCCCAACCGAGGAACUGCGUCCGAUACUGUCCGGCUAGAGUGCGGGAGGGGAGAGUGGAACUCCUGGUGGAGCGGUGAAAUGCGUAGAUAUCAGGAGGAACACCGGUGGCGAAAGCGACUCUCUGGUCCGCAACUGACGCUGAGGCGCGAAAGCCAGGGGAGCGAACGGGAUUAGAAACCCUGGUAGUCC
RNAcentral lists this ribosomal RNA (448 nucleotides) under uncultured bacterium. Its description in RNAcentral is "bacterial SSU rRNA". It matches the Rfam family "Bacterial small subunit ribosomal RNA", at positions 354 to 796 of the family's 1533-position model. The record is from RNAcentral.